This 776-nucleotide ribosomal RNA is filed under the name uncultured archaeon. RNAcentral's name for it is "bacterial SSU rRNA". It matches the Rfam family "Archaeal small subunit ribosomal RNA", at positions 671 to 1445 of the family's 1478-position model. The record is from RNAcentral.
GGCGGUGUACCAGAACACGUUCGACGGUGAGGGAUGAAAGCUGGGGGAGCAANCCGGAUUAGAUACCCGGGUAGUCCCAGCUGUAAACGNNGCAGACUCGGUGAUGCAUUGGCUUGUGGCCAAUGCAGUGCCGCAGGGAAGCCGUUAAGUCUGCCGCCUGGGAAAGUACGUACGCAAGUAUGAAACUUAAAGGAAUUGGCGGGGGAGCACCACAAGGGGUGAAGCCUGCGGUUCAAUUGGAGUCAACGCCAGAAAUCUUACCUGGGGCGACAGCAGAAUGAAGGUCAAGCUGAAGACUUUACCAGACAAGCUGAGAGGUGGUGCAUGGCCGUCGCCAGCUCGUGCCGUGAGAUGUCCUGUUAAGUCAGGUAACGAGCGAGACCCCUGCGUCUAGUUGCUACCAUUACUCUCUGGAGUAGUGGAGCGAAUUAGACGGACCGCCACAGUUAAUGUGGAGGAAGGAAGGGGCCACGGCAGGUCAGUAUGCCCCGAAACCCUAGGGCUACACGCGGGCUGCAAUGGUAUUGACAAUGUGUUCCGAAUCCGAAAGGAGGAGGCAAUCAUCAAACGAUACCUCAGUUAUGACUGAGGGCUGUAACUCGCCCUCACGAAUAUGGAAUCCCUAGUAACUGCGCGUCACUACCGCGCGGUGAAUACGUCCCUGCUCCUUGCACACACCGCCCGUCGUUUCAUCGAAGUUGGCCUUUAGUGAGGUAGUGUCUUGUUGGCAUUAUCGAGCUUGAGGUCAGUGACGAGGGAAAAGUCGUAACAAGGUA